AUUGAACGCUGGCGGCACGCCUAACACAUGCAAGUCGAGCGGUAACAGGAUCUGUAGCAAUACAGAUUGCUGACGAGCGGCGGACGGGUGAGGAACACGUAGGAAUCUACCCUUGAGCGGGGGAUAACCAAGGGAAACUUUGGCUAAUACCGCAUAAACUCGAGAGAGAAAAGCUACCCGCAAGGGCGGCACUUGAGGAGGAGCCUGCGUCCGAUUAGCUAGUUGGGGGGUAAGAGCCCACCAAGGCAAUGAUCGGUAACUGGUCUGAGAGGACGACCAGUCACACUGGGACUGAGACACGGCCCAGACUCCUACGGGAGGCAGCAGUGGGGAAUAUUGGACAAUGGGGGCAACCCUGAUCCAGCGAUGCCGCGUGGGUGAAGAAGGCCUGGUGUAAG
This 398-nucleotide ribosomal RNA is filed under the name uncultured bacterium. RNAcentral describes it as "bacterial SSU rRNA". It matches the Rfam family "Bacterial small subunit ribosomal RNA", at positions 29 to 429 of the family's 1533-position model. The record is from RNAcentral.